GUGUUCCAUUUUUAAGGUCUUUCCUCUCCGUGAGGAAAGACCUUAUUGUUUUUCUAAUGUUUUUUUUUUCUUUUUCUUUUUCUUUUUUCUUUUUUUUCUUCCAACAUUUUUUUGACAGGGCCUCCUCCCCUUUCUGUUGAAGUUAUCAAGACCAAAUAUGGACCAUCGAUAGACCUCAUCAUGAACUUUUACCAGAUGAACUUUUGUAGGAUUUCAUCAUCCCCUUUAGAAGUUAUCUCCCUUUUAUUGAUUUUUUUCAACAUGGCCCCCCUUUAUUGUUUUAAAAGAUAUCAUGACCUUUUAUGGACCAUAGGUAGAUAUCAUGAUGUAUUACCAUAUAAGGCUGCAUAGGAUUUCAUCAUCCCCUUUGAGAGUUAUAUCCCCUUAUAACAAUUUUUUAUAUUUGCAUUUUUCUCAAAAAGUAUUAGAGAUAGAAUGUGUUUGAAAAUGACAGCAUGUACAAGAAUAGAUGGCAAUGUUUAUAAACAUAAACAAUUAAUUUGUUACUUACCCUUAUAAGGAGUUAUUUCCCUUUAAACAUUAUAAAUAAUUUUUGAAAAAUUCUAUUUUCAGAACCGGAAGUUAUAGAGACCUUGAACCUUCACCAAUAAUCUUUAAUUCAUGUGACCUUCAAUAUGCACCCAAGGUCAAAGGUCACCGAGUGCAAAAAAAAUUUACGCUGCAAAUUCAAGCUUACAUAUUAGAAAAACGAUAAGACUUUGCUGCAUACAUACAGCGUGUAAAUUGUUCCUCUCGACGAGCUCUACAUUUUAUACAAUAAGCCCAAAAAAUGUCCAACCGUCUGUUUAAAAGUUACAACGGGAUGAUUCUUAAAAGUAUAGUAUUGUGUGUAUAUCUUUUUAAAUGUAACAGAUAUCAACUACUAUAAACUGCAAAGAUGAUCAGUAAUUCAAGACCUUCAAUUUGAGGUCAAUGUCAGGUCAUGAUGAAAUUUCACCUUGACCUUCACAGUAUACUAUGACCUUGACCUUGUGAUAUUUGAAAGGUCAAGUGGUCCUGAGUUGAAUGGUGCUAGUCCCAUGUCUCUACGACUUCCGGUUCUUAAGUUUGGUAUUGCAUCAUAUAUUUGAUGAUUAAUUGUGACCUUGGCGAACUUUAAAAUUGUCCCAAUUCUUUUUCUAUAAUGUUGUCCUUCAACUGUAGAUUAUUUAUCAUUUAACAGAUUUGAGAUAUCUAUUGUCGUUCUAGAGAUAAUGCAGUUUGAAGUUUUGCGAGCGGAGGCAUGUAUUUCUGAAUCAACAAGAG
Molecule: long non-coding RNA, 1266 nt
Filed under: Mytilus galloprovincialis (Mediterranean mussel)
Lineage: Eukaryota; Metazoa; Mollusca; Bivalvia; Mytilida; Mytilidae
Source: RNAcentral